UACGUAGGGUGCAAGCGUUAAUCGGAAUUACUGGGCGUAAAGCGUGCGCAGGCGGUGAUGUAAGACAGGUGUGAAAUCCCCGGGCUUAACCUGGGAACUGCAUUUGUGACUGCAUCGCUGGAGUGCGGCAGAGGGGGAUGGAAUUCCGCGUGUAGCACGUGAAAUGCGUAGAUAUGCGGAGGAACACCCGAUGGCGAAGGCAAUCCCCUGGGC
RNAcentral lists this ribosomal RNA (213 nucleotides) under uncultured bacterium. RNAcentral's name for it is "partial 16S ribosomal RNA". It matches the Rfam family "Bacterial small subunit ribosomal RNA", at positions 524 to 734 of the family's 1533-position model. The record is from RNAcentral.